UACGAAGGGGGCUAGCGUUGCUCGGAAUCACUGGGCGUAAAGCGCACGUAGGCGGCUUUUUAAGUCAGGGGUGAAAUCCUGGAGCUCAACUCCAGAACUGCCUUUGAUACUGAGAAGCUUGAGUCCGGGAGAGGUGAGUGGAACUGCGAGUGUAGAGGUGAAAUUCGUAGAUAUUCACAAGAACACCAGUGGCGAAGGCGGCUCACUGGCCCGAUACUGACGCUGAGGCACGAAAGCGUGGGGAGCAAACAGG
Molecule: ribosomal RNA, 253 nt
Filed under: uncultured bacterium
Lineage: Bacteria
Description: partial 16S ribosomal RNA
Rfam family: Bacterial small subunit ribosomal RNA
Source: RNAcentral